This 468-nucleotide ribosomal RNA is filed under the name uncultured bacterium. RNAcentral describes it as "partial 16S ribosomal RNA". It matches the Rfam family "Bacterial small subunit ribosomal RNA", at positions 28 to 507 of the family's 1533-position model. The record is from RNAcentral.
GACGAACGCUGGCGGCGUGCUUAACACAUGCAAGUCGAACGGAAAGGCCCUGCUUUUGUGGGGUGCUCGAGUGGCGAACGGGUGAGUAACACGUGAGUAACCUGCCCUUGACUUUGGGAUAACUUCAGGAAACUGAGGCUAAUACCGGAUAGGAGCUCCUGCUGCAUGGGGGGGGUUGGAAAGUUUCGGCGGUUGGGGAUGGACUCGCGGCUUAUCAGCUUGUUGGGGGGGUAGUGGCUUACCAAGGCUUUGACGGGUAGCCGGCCUGGGAGGGUGACCGCGCACAUUGGGACUGCGGGACGGCGCAGACUGCUACGGGAGGCAGCAGUGGGGAAUAUUGCACAGUGGGCGGAAGCGUGAUACAGCAACGCCGCGGUCGGGAUGAAGGCCUUCGGGUAGUAAACCGCUUUCGCCUGUGACGAAGCGUGAGUGACGGUAAUGGGUAAAUAAGCACCGGCUAACUACGUG